Molecule: ribosomal RNA, 1164 nt
Filed under: Triticum aestivum (bread wheat)
Lineage: Eukaryota; Viridiplantae; Streptophyta; Magnoliopsida; Poales; Poaceae
Description: partial small subunit ribosomal RNA
Source: RNAcentral
AUGUUUGCACUAGCGGCGGUUUCCUUGUUUUCUUCGCUCACGAAAUCCAAAGCCAAAGGAGACAAGGAGGCCAUAAAAGCCAAUGGAAACCAAAAGAGACCAUCCCACUUCACACUCUACAAGCUCGGCCGCCUCCUCUCCUCUCCUGUAUGCUCGCCGCCGGCGAUGCCCAGCCCGCUGAAGCGCCCCUCCCUCGGCCGCCUGCUCGCCGCCCUCCGGUCGCCGUCCCGCGUCCCGGUCCAGACAGGCUUCCCCACCUCCCUCGCCGACCUCGUCGUCAAGAACCAUGGCCGCCUCAGGAAGCCCCGCAAGCCGCGCCGCCCCACCGCCCUGGCGCUGCCUCCGUCUCCGGCGGAGAAUCCGGUGGACGUAGGGGAGAUUCCUUCGCUGCCGCCAUCGCCCGGACCUCUGUCGCCGGUGGUCGUAGAGGACUCCUCGGCCCCGGUGGUGCGGCGGCUGGACGCGCCCAAAGGCGCCGCCUUUUUCCGGCCCCGCCCGGAGCUCCUCGCGCUCGGCGGGGCCGUGGCGCUCGCGCUCCUCGCCGUGUGGAGGGAGGGGGCCGUCGCGGCCUUCACCAUCGCCUCGCUGUCGCUGCUCUGGAUCGAGUCGGCCUCCCGCCGGCGCCGGCGCCCGGCAGAGCUGCCCGAUCCGCGCUGCCCCGCCCCCGUCUCGCCGAUUCGGGUGGUGGAAGAAGCGCCCGGCUGCUCCGAUUCCGACAAGAGUAGCGAGGCCCCCUCCCCUCGGCCCUCGGAGAGGCGCGAGCUCGUCUCCGGCGGCGAAGAUCCGGCCACCCCGAAGAGGAAAGCGAGGAGAUCGCUGAGGAAGGUAAUCUCCAAGACGCUGCAGAAGAAGCCCAAGGCGAAGGACGCCUCGGCCUCUAGCGACGGCGAGGUCGGGCAGCCGGCUGGCGACGCCGAGCCAGUAGUAGCCGAGGCCUUUCUAGCAGUUUCCAACCCGGAGCAGACGCCGUCGGAACCAAGCACAGAGUCGUCGGUGGAGAUGAAGAUGGAGACGGAAAGGCGAGGGGGCAGGUUCCCCCUGGCGGCGUUCGUCCCGGUCAUCCUCGCAGGCCUCGCCGCCGGGAAGCUCCCGGCGACGGCGCUGGCCGUGCUCUGCGUGGCCUUCUUCGGCCGGCACCGUCGAGCGAAUUUAGGCGGCCGGUGA